GACGAACGCUGGCGGCGUGCCUAAUACAUGCAAGUCGAGCGAAGUUUUUCUGGUGCUUGCACCGGAAAAACUUAGCGGCGAACGGGUGAGUAACACGUAAAGAACCUGCCUCAUAGACUGGGACAACUAUUGGAAACGAUAGCUAAUACCGGAUAACAGCAUUAACUGCAUGGUUGAUGUUUAAAAGUUGGUUUUGCUAACACUAUGAGAUGGCUUUGCGGUGCAUUAGCUAGUUGGUGGGGUAAAGGCCUACCAAGGCGACGAUGCAUAGCCGACCUGAGGAGGGUGAUCGGCACAACUGGAACUAGGACAGGGCCCGAACCCUACGGGAGGCAGCAGUAGGGAAUCUUCCGCAAUGGGCGAAAGCCUGACGGAGCAACGCCGCGUGAGUGAAGAAGGAUUUCGGUUCGUAAAGCUCUGUUGUUAGGGAAGAAUGAUUGUGUAGUAACUAUACACAGUAGAGACGGUACCUAACCAGAAAGCCACGGCUAACUACGUG
This 499-nucleotide ribosomal RNA is filed under the name uncultured bacterium. RNAcentral describes it as "partial 16S ribosomal RNA". It matches the Rfam family "Bacterial small subunit ribosomal RNA", at positions 28 to 507 of the family's 1533-position model. The record is from RNAcentral.